CUUAUGGCCUGGCAGGAGGAGCUGCCAUCAGCCCUCACAGAAUCCUACCUGUCAUGUCCCAGUGUUAGGAAUCAUAGGGAGAAGCAGUGAAAAAGCAGCUGCUGCUUGUAGAGCAUGACUUCUGUGACUGACAGACAUGGGAGGCAAUCCCAGGCUUGCUUUUUGUGUCAGAAAUGCAGGUGUUAGAGGGACCUAAAAUCAGAGACUAAAGGUUGGUGGAGGGGAGCAGCAGAGAAAAAAAGUAAAUAACAGACAGAGAGGGGAGUGGUGGAAAUGUCUGUGAGAAGGUGGCAGAGUUGCUUGUGAGAGGAAGAGAGCUAUGAGAAGAACAAGAGAAAUUAGGAGAAGAAAAGAUGCAGGUCUGUCUGGUUAUUAUUUUUGGAACAAUCUGAAACAUGAUUUGGAUGUUUGUCUUGCUGCUGGUUCUUUGAGUAGUUACAAAGAAUGUAAAACCCACAUUAAAAGCUUGAGCUAAGGAACUGUUGAAAAAGCAAACUACAAGGAUCCCAAGGAUCUGCAGAAGCUGCGCAGACAGGAAAUAAAUUCAGCGCUGUCUCAUGCA
Molecule: long non-coding RNA, 562 nt
Filed under: Numida meleagris (helmeted guineafowl)
Lineage: Eukaryota; Metazoa; Chordata; Aves; Galliformes; Numididae
Description: lncRNA (ENSNMEG00000008486.1)
Source: RNAcentral